AUGAACGCUAGCGGGAGGCCUAACACAUGCAAGCCGAGCGGUAUUGUUUCUUCGGGAAAUGAGAGAGCGGCGUACGGGUGCGGAACACGUGUGCAACCUACCUUUAUCUGGAGGAUAGCCUUUCGAAAGGAAGAUUAAUACUCCAUAAUAUAUUGAUUGGCAUCAGUUGAUAUUGAAAGCUCCGGCGGAUAAAGAUGGGCACGCGCAAGAUUAGCUAGUUGGUGAGGUAACGGCUCACCAAGGCGAUGAUCUUUAGGGGGCCUGAGAGGGUGAUCCCCCACACUGGUACUGAGACACGGACCAGACUCCUACGGGAGGCAGCAGUGAGGAAUAUUGGUCAAUGGGUGCAAGCCUGAACCAGCCAUCCCGCGUGAAGGACGACUGCCCUAUGGGUUGUAAACUUCUUUUGUAUAGGGAUAAACCUACUCUCGUGAGAGUAGCUGAAGGUACUAUACGAAUAAGCACCGGCUAACUCCGUG
Molecule: ribosomal RNA, 479 nt
Filed under: uncultured bacterium
Lineage: Bacteria
Description: bacterial SSU rRNA
Rfam family: Bacterial small subunit ribosomal RNA
Source: RNAcentral